This 387-nucleotide ribosomal RNA is filed under the name uncultured bacterium. RNAcentral describes it as "bacterial SSU rRNA". It matches the Rfam family "Bacterial small subunit ribosomal RNA", at positions 28 to 417 of the family's 1533-position model. The record is from RNAcentral.
GACGAACGCUGGCGGCGUGCUUAACACAUGCAAGUCGAGCGGUAAGGCCUUUUCGGGGGUACACGAGCGGCGAACGGGUGAGUAACACGUGGGUGACCUGCCUUCAGCUCUGGGAUAAGCCUGGGAAACUGGGUCUAAUACCGGAUAUGACUCCAUGAUGCAUGUUGUGGGGUGGAAAGCUUUUGCGGCUGGAGAUGGGCCCGCGGCCUAUCAGCUUGUUGGUGGGGUGAUGGCCUACCAAGGCGACGACGGGUAGCCGGCCUGAGAGGGCGACCGGCCACACUGGGACUGAGACACGGCCCAGACUCCUACGGGAGGCAGCAGUGGGGAAUCUUGCGCAAUGGGCGAAAGCCUGACGCAGCGACGCCGCGUGAGGGAUGACGGCCU